RNAcentral lists this small RNA (476 nucleotides) under Arabidopsis thaliana (thale cress). Its description in RNAcentral is "ATSL260140". The record is from RNAcentral. Lineage: Eukaryota; Viridiplantae; Streptophyta; Magnoliopsida; Brassicales; Brassicaceae.
AUUUUAUUUUUAACAGAUUUAUAAUAUGGUAGCUUAAUAAUAGCUAAAAGAUAAGGUGCAUAUUUCAAAACGCUCUGAAAACGCAGAAGAUAGUUAUGUUUAUACAUUAUUUUAUUAUUUUAUUAAUCAUAAAAGGGAAAAAAAAGGUUUUUGUCUAUAUAAAGAUUGCAUGCGUUCUAUUAGUUCAUCACAAAAAAACAUUGACAAACACAAAACAUAUAAAAACAGCAAAACAAAAUUCCUUGUCUGAUUUAUUCACUUAUAAAGAUAACAUCAAAGUUAUACAAAGCUUUCACUUUUAAAGGUAAACAAUGUUUAAUUAUUUUUUAUUCUAUACUAAAUUUAAAUUCUAAACUAUAACUAUCAAAUUAUUAUAUUUAUAUAUAUUAAAAGCAAUGACACUAGUCUUUUUAAGAGAUAUUAUCAUGUAAAUUUAUAGUAAUUUCUUAAUUAUGUAUAGUUAAAUAAUUUAAAUU